CAUCUACCUCGAAGUGGGGAAUAACGAGCCGAAAGGUUCGCUAAUACCGCAUGUGGUCGAGAGAUGAAAGGGCGAUUCGAAAGAAUUGUUCGCUUUGAGCGGAGCCUGCGGUCGAUCAGGUAGUUGGUGAGGUAACGGCUCACCAAGCCGCUGACCGAUAGCUGAUCUGAGAGGAUGACCAGCCACACUGGCACUGAGAAACGGGCCAG
This 209-nucleotide ribosomal RNA is filed under the name uncultured bacterium. RNAcentral's name for it is "partial 16S ribosomal RNA". It matches the Rfam family "Bacterial small subunit ribosomal RNA", at positions 123 to 334 of the family's 1533-position model. The record is from RNAcentral.